UACGUAGGGGGCAAGCGUUAUCCGGAUUUACUGGGUGUAAAGGGGGCGCAGACGGCGAUGCAAGCCAGGAGUGAAAGCCCGGGGCCCAACCCCGGGACUGCUCUUGGAACUGCGUGGCUGGAGUGCAGGAGGGGCAGGCGGAAUUCCUGGUGUAGCGGUGAAAUGCGUAGAUAUAUGGAGGAACGCCGGUGGCGAAAGCGGCUCUCUGGCCUGUAACUGACACUGAGGCUCGAAAGCGUGGGGAGCAAACAGG
Molecule: ribosomal RNA, 253 nt
Filed under: uncultured bacterium
Lineage: Bacteria
Description: partial 16S ribosomal RNA
Rfam family: Bacterial small subunit ribosomal RNA
Source: RNAcentral